Molecule: ribosomal RNA, 253 nt
Filed under: uncultured bacterium
Lineage: Bacteria
Description: partial 16S ribosomal RNA
Rfam family: Bacterial small subunit ribosomal RNA
Source: RNAcentral
UACAGAGGUCUCAAGCGUUGUUCGGAUUCAUUGGGCGUAAAGGGUGCGUAGGCGGCGCGGUAAGUCGGGUGUGAAAUCUUGGAGCUUAACUCCGAAACUGCAUUCGAUACUGCCGUGCUUGAGGACUGGAGAGGAGACUGGAAUUUACAGUGUAGCGGUGAAAUGCGUAGAUAUCGUAAGGAAGACCAGUGGCGAAGGCGGGUCUCUGGACAGUUCCUGACGCUGAGGCACGAAGGCCAGGGGAGCAAACGGG